Molecule: long non-coding RNA, 685 nt
Organism: Nerophis lumbriciformis (worm pipefish)
Lineage: Eukaryota; Metazoa; Chordata; Actinopteri; Syngnathiformes; Syngnathidae
Source: RefSeq, a predicted model, not a curated record
AUUAGCAUGCAGGAUCAUGAUGGGCAUACCAGGUGUCUGUACUCUCAUUCUGUGCGUGUGUCCAUCCAUCCAUCCAUGCAUGAAUGGUGCGUCGGCGGAGCGCUGAAUGGGCACAGAGGGGUGUGCUCUCACAGACUCCGUAGCGGCAGCAGUGACAUGAGGAACAUCUCCUCGGCUGGACGUCUGCACUGAGCGAGGAAGAAGAGGAAGGACAAAGUGCCCGAGUUUUCAAUCAGAAGUGAUCCUUCAGCUCUGAAGUCAGCCAUGGAGCAGAAGACAAAUGAGUGCACAACCAGCACCUCUCCCCAGAAACACAUGAAGAACAGAUCCAAAUCUACAGACGAGACGCAACAGACCAAAAGGGCUUUUUCCUCACAAAAAUCUCUCCCAGGCAGACCACAGCUGGACAGGGUGAAGGAGUGCCUUGAUGGUUCGGAGACGCCAUCAUCCUCCACUGAGGAACUUAAGUGAUCAACCAACUGAUGAAUGACGUCACCAACAUAACCCUAUAAAUGUACAUUUGUAUACUCGGAACACUCAACAAGUAAGAUCACUAAGUAAAAAGUAGAAAGUAAAAAGAAAUGUGACAUGAUGUAACGUUAUGUGCUUUUACGACAAUUGCAUGCAGAACAAAAACAGUGUUUUUUAUUGUUAACAUUCGAAUACAAUAAAGUGAUGAUAAUGA